GGCGUGAAGUUUAUUGAUCGUACCAGCAAGAUAAGCCCGGGUAACUUCGUGCAGCAGCCGCGGUAAUACGAUGGGGCUAGCGUGCUCGGAUCACUGGGCGUAAAGGGUGCGUAGGCGGGUUCUUUAAGUCAGGGGAUGAAAUCCUGAGCUCAACUCCAGAACUGCCUUUGAUACUGAGGAUCUUGAGUUCGGGAGAGGUGAGUGGAACUGCGAGUGUAGAGGUGAAAUUCGUAGAUAUUCGCAAGAACACCAGUGCGAAGGCGGCUCACUGGCCCGAUACUGACGCUGAGGCACGAAAGCGUGGGGAGCAAACAGGAUUAGAUACCUGGUAGUCCACGCCGUAAACGAUGAAUGCCAGCCGUUAGUGGGAUUACUCACUAGUGGCGCAGCUAACGCUUUAAGCAUUCCGCCUGGGGAGUACGGUCGCAAGAUUAAAACUCAAAGGAAUUGACGGGGGCCCGCACAAGCGGUGGAGCAUGUGGUUUAAUUCGACGCAACGCGCAGAACCUUACCAGCCCUUGACAUCCCGGUCGCGGACUCCAGAGACGGAGUUCUUCAGUUCGGCUGGACCGGAGACAGGUGCUGCAUGGCUGUCGUCAGCUCGUGUCGUGAGAUGUUGGGUUAAGUCCCGCAACGAGCGCAACCCCCGUCCUUAGUUGCUACCAUUUAGUUGAGCACUCUAAGGAGACUGCCGGUGAUAAGCCGCGAGGAAGGUGGGGAUGACGUCAAGUCCUCAUGGCCCUUACGGGCUGGGCUACACACGUGCUACAAUGGCGGUGACAAUGGGACGCUAAGGGGCAACCCUUCGCAAAUCUCAAAAAGCCGUCUCAGCUCGGAUUGGGCUCUGCAACUCGAGCCCAUGAAGUUGGAAUCGCUAGUAAUCGUGGAUCAGCACGCCACGGUGAAUACGUUCCCGGGCCUUGUACACACCGCCCGUCACACCAUGGGAGUUGGUUUUACCUGAAGACGGUGCGCUAACCGCAAGGAGGCAGCCGGCCACGGUAGGGUCAGCGACUGGGGUGAAGUCGUAACAAGGUAGCCGUA
RNAcentral lists this ribosomal RNA (1044 nucleotides) under uncultured Bradyrhizobium sp. RNAcentral describes it as "bacterial SSU rRNA". It matches the Rfam family "Bacterial small subunit ribosomal RNA", at positions 456 to 1504 of the family's 1533-position model. Lineage: Bacteria; Pseudomonadati; Pseudomonadota; Alphaproteobacteria; Hyphomicrobiales; Nitrobacteraceae. The record is from RNAcentral.